GUGUCAGCCGCCGCGGUACUACGUAGGUGGCGAGCGUUGUCCGGAUUUACUGGGCGUAAAGGGAGCGUAGGCGGAUAUUUAAGUGGGAUGUGAAAUACCCGGGCUUAACUUGGGUGCUGCAUUCCAAACUGGAUAUCUAGAGUGCAGGAGAGGAAAGUGGAAUUCCUAGUGUAGCGUUGAAAUGCGUAGAAAUAAGGAAGAACACCAGGGGCGAAGGAGACUUUUUGGAUGGUAACUGACGCUGAGG
This 247-nucleotide ribosomal RNA is filed under the name uncultured bacterium. Its description in RNAcentral is "partial 16S rRNA". It matches the Rfam family "Bacterial small subunit ribosomal RNA", at positions 505 to 751 of the family's 1533-position model. The record is from RNAcentral.